CUUCUCAAAUACUUUAUUCGAAAAAGAAGGAUGUAGAUAUUAUUAUUAGGGUUUCUUAGGCAAGUAUUACUGAGUAGACUUAGUGUCUAGAAACUCUCAAUGAUGUCUUUUUUUUUUUUUUUUUUUUUUACAUUUCAGUGUUAAUGGAAAUUUGCAGGCCCAAACUGAAGGAUGGGAAUGUGGUAUUGGAGUAAUCCAGACCCUGAAAGAUGUGUACGCCAAUUCUGACUUUUAUGUGCACUGCCUUGAUGACCAAUGAAGUUGCACACCUUUUCAUGUAUACUGGUCAUUUGGAUAUUGUCUUUUAUGGAAUGCCACUUCAAGUCUUUUGGAUUUGAACAGCUUUCAGAACGCUGCUGCACUUACCUGGUACACCUGCCUAGAAGCUGGAAGGAGUAAAUGCAAAGCCAAAACCUUGCUGCAUCUCUGUCAUUCACAUCGGGCUUCCUGUUAUUCCUAACAUUUAAAUGGACACAGAUACGGGUGGAAAAAGAGCAAAGGUGGCGGCCUCCAAGCCAGGAAGAGGGCCCUCACCUUGAACUGAGUCAGUCAGCACCAUGAUCUUGGACUUCACGGCCUCCAGAACGGAUUUCUCACUCUUGGAAGACUACUUCUGGGAACUCAGUCAUCACGCUGUGCAGUGCCCACGACAAAUGUACGGGACACCUCCUGAUGUUCCAACUGUCAGUCUCAGAUGAGCUCCCAGCCACCAGCCUGCAUCAGAUACUGACCAUGUGAACCGGCCAUCUUGGCCGUCCAGAACAACUGAUCCCACACAUGAUGCGACCAAAGUUGACAUUAUCAGGUAAGAAAGCCAUGUAGCUUAACACAGUCAACACCAAGACCAGCGAGCAAUAAUAAAACAGUUGUUGUUUUAGGCUACUAAAUUCUGGAGUGGCUUGUUAUGAGACAGUAAGUAACUGAAAUAGGGGGUGUCCGUGUGUGGGCGGGAAUAAAGGCAUGAGAACGGAAGAGACUUAACAGGCGAGAAAGUUACAUGAAAGAAAAGAGGCUGACAAGAGAAUCCUGGGACUUCAGAACUGCUACGCAGAAGAACAGAAGACGGCAACAGAAUCUGUGAAACAUGUUCAUAAAGGUAGAAGGGAACAGAGGAGAUUGGGAGUGACCUCUAAGCCAGUGGAAGAGACAGGAGCCACAGAGGUUAGUGCUAAUGAGAAAUCAAAUAAGAUACAGCUGGUAAUUGCUUGUUACAUUUAAUGACAUGGAAGUCAGAGGUGGUCUUAGCAAAAAUAGAUCGGCAAACUGACAGGGAAGAAGCCAGACUGGUAGAGGUAGAGGUAGUUGAAGAAUAAACAGUAAAUGAAUAGAGAAAAAAUGUAUGUAAAGGUUGAAAUUACCUGUAUCUGCUGAUGAAAAGGAAAACAGUACACAAGUCAGGGUGAGAGAAAAAUAUUUUACUCUUUCCAGAAAGGAUCCUCAAACAACAAUACAUCCAUUUAGGCACUGUCUAUGCCCAUUGUCCAAACACACAACAACCUCAAAAGAACAUUUGCUACAAAGCAGAUUUUGUAAUAACUUAGCUGUAUUAUGGAUCCAAAGGAAAUUAUUUACUGACAUA
Long non-coding RNA from Camelus dromedarius (Arabian camel), 1579 nucleotides. RefSeq lists it as uncharacterized. Lineage: Eukaryota; Metazoa; Chordata; Mammalia; Artiodactyla; Camelidae. The record is from RefSeq and is a predicted model, not a curated record. The transcript has 5 exons.